GACGAACGCUGGCGGCGUGCCUAAUACAUGCAAGUAGGACGAAGUUGCGAACGGGUGAGUAACGCGUGGGUAACUACCUAUUAGAGGGGGAUAACUAUUGGAAACGAUAGCUAAUACCGCAUACGAGUAGAUGGACCUGCGUUGUAUUAGCUAGUAGGGAGGGUAAUGGCCUACCUAGGCAACGAUACAUAGCCGACCUGAUAGUGUGAUCGGCCACACUGGGACUGAGACACGGCCCAGACUCCUACGGGAGGCAGCAGUAGGGAAUCUUCGGCAAUUGGGGGAACCCUGACCGAGCAACGCCGCGUGAGUGAAGAAGGUUUUCGGAUCGUAAAGCUCUGUUGUUAAGUAAGCGUUACUUAACCAGAAAGGGCCGGCUAACUACGUGCCAGCAGCCGCGGUAAUAC
RNAcentral lists this ribosomal RNA (407 nucleotides) under uncultured bacterium. RNAcentral's name for it is "partial 16S ribosomal RNA". It matches the Rfam family "Bacterial small subunit ribosomal RNA", at positions 28 to 526 of the family's 1533-position model. The record is from RNAcentral.